Molecule: long non-coding RNA, 619 nt
Organism: Candoia aspera
Lineage: Eukaryota; Metazoa; Chordata; Lepidosauria; Squamata; Candoiidae
Exons: 3
Source: RefSeq, a predicted model, not a curated record
GCGCCCCCAGGACCCUCGGGCGGGCCGGCAGCGCUUUUCGGGGUUGCGCUUCCCGCUCCCCUGGCGGGCGCCGGGUUGAGACUUGUCCUUGCUGAGCACUGAGAAUCAGCCACCCUGCCAGUUGCAGAGAGCGCGAAGUUCUGCUUCGGCGAAAGAAACUGAAGAAGAGCGGCGGAGGUUGGAGCCCAAACUGACUUUGUGUCAUAAUAAAUCUCUGCAAUCCACUACAGCUUUACAGUACCUGGAAGUAAACUGUCCUGAAUUAAGUAUGAGCACACAUACUGUAGCACCAGCAUCCCAGAACAAGCAUUUCCUCUGAGAUUCUUGAAAUUGCAAUUCCAAUAGAUCUGGAGUUCGCCAAACUGAGGAAGGAUGCUCUGCUUGAAGAGCCGUCUGUCCAAGUUGGGUUAAAGCUAUGCAUAAUUAUCCAUCUCAAAUGGCAAUAAACCAAGGACAGACACCUUUCUCUAGCUUGGAACUGUGCUUUUCAAAAUGAUGUUUUAAAAUUGGUAGCCUGGGGCCAUGAGAACAUGAUCGUGAUGGGGUGAUGUUGCUGAAAAGGGGCAGUAGCUGUGCCUUUUUUAUUAUUGGAAGUAGCUUGGUAUUAGCAAUAUAUGUG